GCACUGGUCAAUCUAGUGGCGAACGGGUGAGUAACACGUGGGUAACCUGCCCAUCAGAGGGGGAUAACAUUCGGAAACGGAUGCUAAAACCGCAUAGGUCUUCGAACCGCAUGGUUUGAAGAGGAAAAGAGGCGCAAGCUUCUGCUGAUGGAUGGACCCGCGGUGCAUUAGCUAGUUGGUGAGGUAACGGCUCACCAAGGCCGUGAUGCAUAGCCGACCUGAGAGGGUGAUCGGCCACAUUGGGACUGAGACACGGCCCAAACUCCUACGGGAGGCAGCAGUAGGGAAUCUUCCGCAAUGGACGCAAGUCUGACGGAGCAACGCCGCGUGAGUGAAGAAGGUUUUCGGAUCGUAAAACUCUGUUGUUAGAGAAGAACAAGUGCUAGAGUAACUGUUAGCACCUUGACGGUAUCUAACCAGAAAGCCACGGCUAACUACGUGCCAGCAGCCGCGGUAAUACGUAGGUGGCAAGCGUUGUCCGGAUUUAUUGGGCGUAAAGCGAGCGCAGGCGGUUCCUUAAGUCUGAUGUGAAAGCCCCCGGCUCAACCGGGGAGGGUCAUUGGAAACUGGGGAACUUGAGUGCAGAAGAGGAGAGUGGAAUUCCAUGUGUAGCGGUGAAAUGCGUAGAUAUAUGGAGGAACACCAGUGGCGAAGGCGACCCUCUGGUCUGUAACUGACGCUGAGGCUCGAAAGCGUGGGUAGCAAACAGGAUUAGAUACCCUGGUAGUCCACGCCGUAAACGAUGAGUGCUAAGUGUUGGAGGGUUUC
This 768-nucleotide ribosomal RNA is filed under the name uncultured Granulicatella sp. RNAcentral describes it as "bacterial SSU rRNA". It matches the Rfam family "Bacterial small subunit ribosomal RNA", at positions 80 to 834 of the family's 1533-position model. The record is from RNAcentral. Lineage: Bacteria; Bacillati; Bacillota; Bacilli; Lactobacillales; Carnobacteriaceae.